UACGGAGGAGGCAAGCGUUAUCCGGAUUUAUUGGGCGUAAAGCGUCCGCAGGUGGCACUUCAAGUCUGUCGUCAAAGACUGGGGCUUAACCCUGGAAAGGCGGUGGAAACUGAAGCGCUAGAGUACUGUAGGGGCAGGCGGAAUUCCGGGUGUAGCGGUGGAAUGCGUAGAGAUCCGGAGGAAGACCGGUGGCGAAGGCGGCCUGCUGGGCAGUUACUGACACUGAGGCGCGACAGCGUGGGGAGCAAACAGG
RNAcentral lists this ribosomal RNA (253 nucleotides) under uncultured bacterium. RNAcentral describes it as "partial 16S ribosomal RNA". It matches the Rfam family "Bacterial small subunit ribosomal RNA", at positions 524 to 776 of the family's 1533-position model. The record is from RNAcentral.